This 360-nucleotide ribosomal RNA is filed under the name Euscorpius italicus. RNAcentral's name for it is "partial 16S ribosomal RNA". Lineage: Eukaryota; Metazoa; Arthropoda; Arachnida; Scorpiones; Euscorpiidae. The record is from RNAcentral.
NCGNACAGNCUUUNUUAAUUUUAACCUUGCAUGAAAAAGGUAUCUUAAUCCAACAUCGAGGUCACAAACUUUCUUGCUGAUAAGAACUCUUUAAGAAAAUUAUGCUGUUAUCCCUAUAGCUAACUUAUUCCUUUUUAAAAAUUUUUUGAUUUUUCAAGAAUUGUAUUCAUAUUAUAAAAAUAAAAUUUUUAUUUAUUUACUGCCCCAGUAAAAUAAUUUUUAAUUUAUUCUGAUAUUAAAUUAUAAUUAUAAAGCUUAAUAGGGUCUUCUUGUCUUUAAUGUUAAUUUUAGCUUUUUUACUAAAAUAUAAAAUUUGGAGUAUAAUAAUAAGACAUGAUUAAUUAGUUAAACCAUUCAUUC